Molecule: transfer RNA, 55 nt
Filed under: Fusarium pseudograminearum CS3220
Lineage: Eukaryota; Fungi; Ascomycota; Sordariomycetes; Hypocreales; Nectriaceae
Also listed under: 4 other names
Description: tRNA-Ile
Source: RNAcentral
CUUUACCUCUAUUCUGUAUAUUAAUAAUAUUCUUUAUAGGUUCUGUGGCAGAGAC